Molecule: ribosomal RNA, 369 nt
Filed under: Triticum aestivum (bread wheat)
Lineage: Eukaryota; Viridiplantae; Streptophyta; Magnoliopsida; Poales; Poaceae
Description: partial small subunit ribosomal RNA
Source: RNAcentral
AUGCCACUGCCGACGCCGAUAGUCGAUGACCCUGACUACGCCGCAUUCAUGGAGAACAUCAUCUUCGAGGGCCGUGGUGAGGCCUUCCACGUCGACGGUCAAGGCCAAGCUUUCGAUCCCGCCACGGCCGAAAGCCAGGAUGCCUGCGGCCAAUAUGGUGACACCCAAUUCGCCGGCCAUGAUGAAGAUGAGGACGACCAUGGCAACUCAUGGCAUGAAGAUGAUGACAUGUAUUGUGAAGAUGAGGAAGAAGAGGUCGACAUUGCGGAGGAGCCCUUGUUUAUCGAUGAGCUCACCCAAAGGGCCGAAGCACAAAAGAAGAGGCAAAGCAUUCGCACGGGAUAUACACCCAAGAGGGGGACACUUUAA